AAAUUGAAGAGUUUGAUCAUGGCUCAGAUUGAACGCUGGCGGCAGGCCUAACACAUGCAAGUCGAACGGUAACAGGAAGCAGCUUGCUGCUUCGCUGACGAGUGGCGGACGGGUGAGUAAUGUCUGGGAAACUGCCUGAUGGAGGGGGAUAACUACUGGAAACGGUGGCUAAUACCGCAUAACGUCGCAAGACCAAAGAGGGGGACCUUUGGGCCUCUUGCCAUCAGAUGUGCCCAGAUGGGAUUAGCUUGUUGGUGAGGUAACGGCUCACCAAGGCGACGAUCCCUAGCUGGUCUGAGAGGAUGACCAGCCACACUGGAACUGAGACACGGUCCAGACUCCUACGGGAGGCAGCAGUGGGGAAUAUUGCACAAUGGGCGCAAGCCUGAUGCAGCCAUGCCGCGUGUAUGAAGAAGGCCUUCGGGUUGUAAAGUACUUUCAGCGGGGAGGAAGGUGUUGUGGUUAAUAACCGCAGCAAUUGACGUUACCCGCAGAAGAAGCACCGGCUAACUCCGUGCCAGCAGCCGCGGUAAUACGGAGGGUGCAAGCGUUAAUCGGAAUUACUGGGCGUAAAGCGCACGCAGGCGGUCUGUCAAGUCGGAUGUGAAAUCCCCGGGCUCAACCUGGGAACUGCAUUCGAAACUGGCAGGCUUGAGUCUUGUAGAGGGGGGUAGAAUUCCAGGUGUAGCGGUGAAAUGCGUAGAGAUCUGGAGGAAUACCGGUGGCGAAGGCGGCCCCCUGGACAAAGACUGACGCUCAGGUGCGAAAGCGUGGGGAGCAAACAGGAUUAGAUACCCUGGUAGUCCACGCCGUAAACGAUGUCUACUUGGAGGUUGUGCCCUUGAGGCGUGGCUUCCGGAGCUAACGCGUUAAGUAGACCGCCUGGGGAGUACGGCCGCAAGGUUAAAACUCAAAUGAAUUGACGGGGGCCCGCACAAGCGGUGGAGCAUGUGGUUUAAUUCGAUGCAACGCGAAGAACCUUACCUGGUCUUGACAUCCACAGAAGAAUCCAGAGAUGGAUUUGUGCCUUCGGGAACUGUGAGACAGGUGCUGCAUGGCUGUCGUCAGCUCGUGUUGUGAAAUGUUGGGUUAAGUCCCGCAACGAGCGCAACCCUUAUCCUUUGUUGCCAGCGGUUAGGCCGGGAACUCAAAGGAGACUGCCAGUGAUAAACUGGAGGAAGGUGGGGAUGACGUCAAGUCAUCAUGGCCCUUACGACCAGGGCUACACACGUGCUACAAUGGCGCAUACAAAGAGAAGCGACCUCGCGAGAGCAAGCGGACCUCAUAAAGUGCGUCGUAGUCCGGAUUGGAGUCUGCAACUCGACUCCAUGAAGUCGGAAUCGCUAGUAAUCGUGGAUCAGAAUGCCACGGUGAAUACGUUCCCGGGCCUUGUACACACCGCCCGUCACACCAUGGGAGUGGGUUGCAAAAGAAGUAGGUAGCUUAACCUUCGGGAGGGCGCUUACCACUUUGUGAUUCAUGACUGGGGUGAAGUCGUAACAAGGUAACCGUAGGGGAACCUGCGGUUGGAUCACCUCCUUACCUUAAAGAA
Molecule: ribosomal RNA, 1552 nt
Filed under: Salmonella enterica
Lineage: Bacteria; Pseudomonadati; Pseudomonadota; Gammaproteobacteria; Enterobacterales; Enterobacteriaceae
Also listed under: 1 other name
Description: bacterial SSU rRNA
Rfam family: Bacterial small subunit ribosomal RNA
Source: RNAcentral